This is a long non-coding RNA of Zonotrichia albicollis (white-throated sparrow), 482 nucleotides long. RefSeq lists it as uncharacterized. NCBI's taxonomy places the organism in Eukaryota, Metazoa, Chordata, Aves, Passeriformes, Passerellidae. The record is from RefSeq and is a predicted model, not a curated record.
CACCAUCGGGCGUUUUCCCAAACAAUUGCCUGAGCAGCCUCAGAGCAAUCCAUCUCCCUGCCGACACUGCUUUGGUAUUAGGGGUCUCCCAGGAGCAGAUUCUGUGGCAAAUAUGAUGCACAGAGCCAAAUCCAGGAAGAUCUAGACCCUUGGAGGCCCAGACCAAGUCUACCAUGACAGGCUCCUGCCAUCAGCUCCAUAUCGAGCAACGGCAUCUGGAAGCUCGUUUGGGGUAGGAACUGCUCCCUUUCACCACCCCUGCUGGCCUUCUGUGGGCAGAGAGAUGCCCUGUGACUGCUCCUGUCUGAUCACAUUCCCCACUCUCCUCACCCUGAAGCUAACAUCUCUGCACUGGCUGGAAAAAAUUGAAUUCCUUUCCCAACACAUCAAUAAGUGUCCUCAGACAGAGGUGGUUGAAAAGAAGAGACAGCUGCCAUGGUGUGCAGCAGAGCUUCCUGACAAGGAUCCUACAUCCUGAAAGA